CGCUGGCAGUGCGUCUUAAGCAUGCAAGUCAAACGGGAUGUANCAAUACAUCUAGUGGCGAACGGGUGAGUAACGCGUGGAUGAUCUACCUACGAGAUGGGGAUAACUAUUAGAAAUAGUAGCUAAUACCGAAUAAAGUCAAUUAAUUUGUUAAUUGAUGAAAGGAAGCCUUUAAAGCUUCGCUUGUNGAUGAGUCUGCGUCUUAUUAGCUAGUUGGUAGGGUAAAUGCCUACCAAGGCGAUGAUNAGUAACCGGCCUGAGAGGGUGAACGGUCACNCUGGAACUGAGAUACGGUCCANACUCCUACGGGAGGCNGCAGCUAANANUCUUCCGCAAUGGGCGAAANCCUGACNGAGCNACNCUGC
RNAcentral lists this ribosomal RNA (365 nucleotides) under Borreliella garinii. RNAcentral describes it as "partial 16S ribosomal RNA". It matches the Rfam family "Bacterial small subunit ribosomal RNA", at positions 34 to 400 of the family's 1533-position model. The record is from RNAcentral. Lineage: Bacteria; Pseudomonadati; Spirochaetota; Spirochaetia; Spirochaetales; Borreliaceae.